RNAcentral lists this ribosomal RNA (253 nucleotides) under uncultured bacterium. Its description in RNAcentral is "partial 16S ribosomal RNA". It matches the Rfam family "Bacterial small subunit ribosomal RNA", at positions 524 to 776 of the family's 1533-position model. The record is from RNAcentral.
UACGUAGGGUGCGAGCGUUGUCCGGAAUUACUGGGCGUAAAGAGCUCGUAGGUGGUUUGUCGCGUUGUUCGUGAAAACUCACAGCUCAACUGUGGGCGUGCGGGCGAUACGGGCAGACUGGAGUACUGCAGGGGAGACUGGAAUUCCUGGUGUAGCGGUGGAAUGCGCAGAUAUCAGGAGGAACACCGGUGGCGAAGGCGGGUCUCUGGGCAGUAACUGACGCUAAGGAGCGAAAGCGUGGGGAGCGAACAGG